RNAcentral lists this ribosomal RNA (253 nucleotides) under uncultured bacterium. Its description in RNAcentral is "partial 16S ribosomal RNA". It matches the Rfam family "Bacterial small subunit ribosomal RNA", at positions 524 to 776 of the family's 1533-position model. The record is from RNAcentral.
GACAGAGGGUGCAAACGUUGCUCGGAAUUACUGGGCGUAAAGCGCGUGUAGGUGGAUUGGUGUGUCAGAUGUGAAAUCCCUGGGCUCAACCCAGGAACUGCACCUGAAACUACCAGUCUUGAGUGGUGGAGAGGGAAGUGGAAUUCCUGGUGUAGAGGUGAAAUUCGUAGAUAUUAGGAGGAACACCAGUGGCGAAGGCGGCUUCCUGGACACCAACUGACGCUGAGACGCGAAAGCGUGGGGAGCAAACAGG